UACGUAGGGUGCGAGCGUUGUCCGGCCUUACUGGGCGUAAAGAGCUCGCAGGUGGUUUGUCGCGUUGUUCGUGAAAACUCACAGCUUAACUGUGGGCGUGCGGGCGAUACGGGCAGACUGGAGUACUGCAGGGGAGACUGGAAUUCCUGGAGUAGCGGUGGAAUGCGCAGAUAACAGGAGGAACACCGGUGGCGAAGGCGGGUCUCUGGGCAGUAACUGACGCUGAGGAGCGAAAGAGUGGGGAACAAACAGG
RNAcentral lists this ribosomal RNA (253 nucleotides) under uncultured bacterium. RNAcentral describes it as "partial 16S ribosomal RNA". It matches the Rfam family "Bacterial small subunit ribosomal RNA", at positions 524 to 776 of the family's 1533-position model. The record is from RNAcentral.